This 497-nucleotide ribosomal RNA is filed under the name uncultured bacterium. RNAcentral describes it as "partial 16S ribosomal RNA". It matches the Rfam family "Bacterial small subunit ribosomal RNA", at positions 28 to 507 of the family's 1533-position model. The record is from RNAcentral.
GAUGAACGCUGGCGGCGUGCUUAAUACAUGCAAGUCGAGCGAACAGACGAGGAUCUUGCUCCUCUGACGUUAGCGGCGGACGGGUGAGUAACAUGUGGAUAACCUCCCUAUCAGACUGGGAUAACUUCGGGAAAGCGGAGCUAAUACCAGAUAAUAUAUUGAACCGCAUGGGUCAAUAGUGAAAGACGGUUUUGCUGUCACGUAUAGAUGGAUCCGCGCCGCAUUAGAUAGUUGGUAAGGUAACGGCUUACUAAGGCAACGAGGCGUAGCCGACCUGAGAGGGUGAUAGGACACACUGGAAGUGAAACACGGUCCAGACUCCUACGGGAGGCAGCAGUAGGGAACCGUCGGCAAUGGGGGGGAGCAUGACGGAGCAACGCCGCGUGAGUGAUGAAGGUCUUCGGAUCGUAAAACUGUGUUAUUAGGGAAGAACAACUGUGUAAGUAACUAUACACGUAUUGACGGUACCUAAUCAGAAAGCAACGGCUAACUACGUG